This 71-nucleotide transfer RNA is filed under the name bacterium. RNAcentral describes it as "tRNA-Gln". It matches the Rfam family "tRNA". From Rfam's summary of the family: Transfer RNA (tRNA) molecules are approximately 80 nucleotides in length. Their secondary structure includes four short double-helical elements and three loops (D, anti-codon, and T loops). The record is from RNAcentral.
UCGGGGGUCGUCUAGCGGUAGGACAGUGGAUUCUGGCUCCACUAACUGAGGUUCAAAUCCUUGCCCCCGAG